RNAcentral lists this unclassified non-coding RNA (284 nucleotides) under Cadophora sp. Its description in RNAcentral is "partial internal transcribed spacer region". The stretch from base 1 to 46 matches the Rfam family "Eukaryotic small subunit ribosomal RNA", at positions 1786 to 1831 of the family's 1831-position model. Lineage: Eukaryota; Fungi; Ascomycota; Leotiomycetes; Helotiales; Ploettnerulaceae. The record is from RNAcentral.
AAGUCGUAACAAGGUUUCCGUAGGUGAACCUGCGGAAGGAUCAUUACUAGAGCAAAGGAUAGACACUACCUUACCUCGGUAAGGUUUAGAGUCGUCGGGCCUCUCGGAGAAGCUCGGUCCUGAACUCCACCCUUGAAUAAAUUACCUUUGUUGCUUUGGCGGGCCGCCUCGUGCCAGCGGCUUCGGCUGUUGAGUGCCCGCCGGAGGACCACAACUCUUGUUUUUAGUGAUGUCUGAGUACUAUAUAAUAGUUAAAACUUUCAACAACGGAUCUCUUGGUUCUG